UACGGGGGGGGCAAGCGUUGUUCGGAAUUACUGGGCGUAAAGGGCUCGUAGGUGGCCAACUAAGUCAGACGUGAAAUCCCUCAGCUUAACUGGGGAACUGCGUCUGAUACUGGAUGGCUUGAGUUUGGGAGAGGGAUGCGGAAUUCCAGGUGUAGCGGUGAAAUGCGUAGAUAUCGGGAGGAACACCAAUGGCGAAGGCAGCUCGCUGGGACGGUACUGACGCUGAGACGCGAAAGCGUGGGGAGCAAACAGG
Molecule: ribosomal RNA, 253 nt
Filed under: uncultured bacterium
Lineage: Bacteria
Description: partial 16S ribosomal RNA
Rfam family: Bacterial small subunit ribosomal RNA
Source: RNAcentral